UCAACUUUCGAUGGUAGUGUAUCUGACUACCAUGGUGAUCACGCGUAACGGAGAAUAAGGGUUCGCCUCCGGAGAGUUCGCCUGAGAAAUCGCGAACACAUCUAAGGAAGGCAGCAGGCGCGAAAAUUACCCACUCUCAGCACGAGGAGGUAGUGACGAAAAAUAACGAGACCGUUCUCUUUGAGGCCGGUCAUCGGAAUGGGUACAAUUUAAACCCUUUAACGAGUAUCUAUGAGAGGGCAAGUCUGGUGCCAGCAGCCGCGGUAAUUCCAGCUCUCAAAGUGCAUAGAAUUAUUGCUGCGGUUAAAAAGCUCGUAGUUGGAUCUGUGCCAUAGGAAGUGGUCCACCUUCGGGUGCGUACUGCUCUCCUAGGCUUUUUGCUGGUUUUCCCGUCGUAGCCUUCACUGGUUGCGGCGGGUGGCUGGCGAGUUUACUUUGAGAAAAUCAGAGUGCUCAAUACAGGCGUAUCGCUUGAAUGAUUGUGCAUGGAAUAAUAGAAAAGGAUUUCGGUCCUCUUUUAUUGGUUUUGUGGACUGAGAUAAUGGUUAACAGGGACAAACGGGGGCAUUCGUAUCGCUGCGUGAGAGGUGAAAUUCUUGGACCGUAGCGAGACGCCC
Molecule: ribosomal RNA, 617 nt
Filed under: Spinocephalus tessellatus
Lineage: Eukaryota; Metazoa; Nematoda; Chromadorea; Rhabditida; Cephalobidae
Description: SSU rRNA
Rfam family: Eukaryotic small subunit ribosomal RNA
Source: RNAcentral